GAAAUGCGAUAAUUAAUGUGAAUUGCAGAAUUCAGUGAAUCAUCGAAUCUUUGAACGCACAUUGCGCCCGCCAGUAUUCUGGCGGGCAUGCCUGUCCGAGCGUCAUUUCAACCAUCAAGCCCCCGGGCUUGUGUUGGGGACCUGCGGCUGCCCGCAGGCCCUGAAAACCAGUGGCGGGCUCGCUGUCACACCGAGCGUAGUAGCAAUCACCUCGCUCAGGGCGUGCUGCGGGUUCCGGCCGUUAAACAGCCUUACAAAACCCAAGGUUGACCUCGGAUCAGGUAGGAAGACCCGCUGAACUUAAGC
RNAcentral lists this unclassified non-coding RNA (306 nucleotides) under plant metagenome. Its description in RNAcentral is "partial contains 5.8S ribosomal RNA, internal transcribed spacer 2, and large subunit ribosomal RNA". The stretch from base 1 to 105 matches the Rfam family "5.8S ribosomal RNA", at positions 50 to 154 of the family's 154-position model. The record is from RNAcentral.